UCCCGGCUGCCCCGCCCCGCCCGGCUGGAGAGACUUCGCCCCUGGCGGGAGGGGGCGGAGGCUAAGGGCCCAGCCGCAGGAAGCAGGCGGACGCGUGCACGGGCCCGUACCACUUCGGCGGGCCCGGUCCUGGGAGCAGAGUGACUUUCGCUCGCUUUGAGCAAGCUGUUCCAGAUGAGAGGGGCCCCAUCAAGCUCCUUUCCUGCGAACUACGCUCAGCACCUCAGCAUCAAGCCGCUGUAGCUUUGGACUGUGUCUGUGAGCAUCUGUGCUUGUAUCUGGAUUUAUUUGGUGCAUUCAUUAGUAAGAUGUGUCCUAAGAUCGAACACCAUCACUCAAGUCAAACAGCAAAUGCAGUUGACAGGAUGUGCAUGUGGCUGAUCAUAAAUGAUACUGCUGUGCCUGUGCGUCAAUAGCAGCUCUCAACAUGGAGCCCCUGCAGACAGGUACAAACACAUGGACUGGCACAACCUCACUUCAUUCUGUUACAAAAUCACGUGCUUCUCUGAUGCUUGAGAGGGAUAUGCCACAUAUAGAAAAGGAAAUUACAACCAUUCAGUGACACUGCCCGUGUGACUUAACCAAGCUAAUGUAGCAAUGUUGAUCCAAAUCAAGUUUAAUGACAAAUCCUGUUAGGAGUGACCUGUGCCUACUUGGGUUAUAUGCUUGUAUGUGGCUAGAAAUGGGCCAAGGAAUCUCUCUCCAUUAGGGAUAGAGGUUGUUUUUUGGCUCAUCUAUUGCCUCCUGUAAUUAUUGGCAAUGACACCAAAGAUCAGCAGGUUAGUGAAAUGAAUAAUGGAUGGGCCUUAGGCUAGACUACAUCCUGACUGUCUGAAAUAGAGUCCUCUGGUCUUCCCUGGGAUAGUCACCUGGGUUCAGGACUCUGGAAGGCAUAUUUGAGGUCAAUACUUGAGGUUAAUUUCAUCUUGUUGUUUGGAGUCCCGAUGAUAGUAGCCUUGUGUGAGAAAUUUAGUUCUAGCCUCUGUUGGUUAAAGUAAUCAGAAUGGCCAAUAGAGUGACAUACUUUUGUGAGAGUUUGCUAGAAGCCAAGACAGGUAGGGGCAAUAGGUGGAUUGAUGGGGAAAACAAUCUUCCACAGGUCCUGAACAUCCCUGCACAUUUUUGCUAGGUAUGCCAAGAAUUCAAGUUCCUUCCUGACUAUUCUUUCCUAAUGCCAUUUCUCUGGGUUGUGUUUAUAGUGAACACUGUGAGGGUUGAAGUUAUAUCAAGUCAUAUGUUUGCUUCUAAAUUAUUGGGUGUGUGUGUGAAGAAUUGAGUGAGAGUGUAGGUGAACCAUAUCAUCUAAAAAUUUGUAAUUGUUGAGGCUGGGUCAUAGGUACAUGUGGGUUCAAAGUACAGGCUUUUUUACCACUUAUUAUAAAAACAGUAGAUUCCCAAGUGUGUUCCUUGUUAGCAAUACAAACUCAUUGUAUGUAUUAUAUCCUUCUGGGCCCCUCUAUGUUACCCCCAUGGGAUCUGGGAUAAGGCUCAUGCUGCUUGUUGUGUCAUGAGUAAUAAAGUCCUCUUCUGUGA
This is a long non-coding RNA of Neofelis nebulosa (Clouded leopard), 1533 nucleotides long. RefSeq lists it as uncharacterized. The transcript is spliced from 3 exons. The record is from RefSeq and is a predicted model, not a curated record. Lineage: Eukaryota; Metazoa; Chordata; Mammalia; Carnivora; Felidae.